Molecule: ribosomal RNA, 301 nt
Filed under: uncultured bacterium
Lineage: Bacteria
Description: partial 16S ribosomal RNA
Rfam family: Bacterial small subunit ribosomal RNA
Source: RNAcentral
CAGCAGCCACGGGAAAACGGAGGGGGCUAGCGUUGUUCGGAAUUACUGGGCGUAAAGCGCACGUAGGCGGCUUUGUAAGUUAGAGGUGAAAGCCCGGGGCUCAACCCCGGAAUUGCCUUUAAGACUGCAGAGCUAGCAGGUGAGAGAGGUGAGUGGAAUUCCGAGUGUAGAGGUGAAAUUCGUAGAUAUUCGGAAGAACACCAGUGGCGAAGGCGGCUCACUGGCUCAUACUGGACGCUGAGGUGCGAAAGCGUGGGGAGCAAACAGGAUUAGAUACCCCCGUAGUCCCUGUCUCUUAUAC